AGCAGCCGCGGUAAUUCCAGCUCCAAUAGCGUAUAUUAAAGUUGUUGCAGUUAAAAGCUCGUAGUUGAAUUUCGGGAUUUAUCCGUCGGUCGGGCUUUUGGGUCUGUACUGGGGUGAUGAAUUCCUACCUUCUGAAUAACCAGCAUGCCAUUAAUUUGGUGCGCCGGGGAAGCAGGACUGUUACCUUGAAAAAUUAGAGUGCUUAAAGCAGGCUAUUGCCUGAAUACAUUAGCAUGGAAUAAUGAAAUAGGACGGCAUGGUUCUAUUUUGUUGGUUUCUAGGAUCACCGUAAUGAUUAAUAGGGAUAGUUGGGGGCAUUAGUAUUCAAUUGUCAGAGGCGAAAUUCUUGGAUUUAUUGAAGACUAACUUCUGCGAAAGCAUUUGCCAAGGAUGUUUUCAUUAAUCAAGAACGAAAGUUAGGGAUCGAAGACGAUCAGAUACCG
Molecule: unclassified non-coding RNA, 443 nt
Filed under: uncultured Acaulospora
Lineage: Eukaryota; Fungi; Glomeromycota; Glomeromycetes; Diversisporales; Acaulosporaceae
Description: SSU rRNA
Rfam family: Eukaryotic small subunit ribosomal RNA
Source: RNAcentral